This 253-nucleotide long non-coding RNA is filed under the name Apteryx rowi (Okarito brown kiwi). RNAcentral describes it as "lncRNA (ENSARWG00000012724.1)". Lineage: Eukaryota; Metazoa; Chordata; Aves; Apterygiformes; Apterygidae. The record is from RNAcentral.
UGGCCCUGUAUUCCACUAAUUAGUAAAGUUUUCUAUGGGCUUUAUUUUUUAUGCAUGCAGGUUGAUGGGUCUCCCUCUGUGAAAACUAGCAUAAUGCAGAGAAAAGAAAUUCUUAGUUUUGCCAGAGGAGUGAUAACCCGGUGAACAACCGACAGCUGCAAGUGCUCACUGGUGGAUUAUUCUACUACAAGAUAACCGGACAUGGACUCUCCCUUUCUGAUCUUUCUGUUCCUCCUCUUGUGAGGAGUGAGGU